Molecule: non-coding RNA, 109 nt
Organism: Pseudomonas sp. ABAC61
Lineage: Bacteria; Pseudomonadati; Pseudomonadota; Gammaproteobacteria; Pseudomonadales; Pseudomonadaceae
Source: Rfam
GCAGCGAAUGCCACGGGUACUACAUGGUGUCGCGGGUUCGAACCCCGCCAGCCGCAAGGCUGUAGCUCAGCUGGUAGAGCAAAUGUGCCUGUUCCCUUGUCGCUGCCCG